CGGGGUUGUGGGAGCAAGAGCCCGGAGUUGGAUUCUGAGACACGAAUCCAGGCCCUACGGGGCGCAGCAGGCGCGAAAACUUUACAAUGCGGGCAACCGUGAUAAGGGAACCUCGAGUGCCUGUACAUGCAGGCUGUCUGGGUGUCUAAAACACACCCAAAGAAAGGGCCGGGCAAGACCGGUGCCAGCCGCCGCGGUAAUACCGGCGGCUCGAGUGGUGGCCACUUUUAUUGGGCUUAAAGCGUUCGUAGCUGGGUUGUUAAGUCUCUUGGGAAAUCUGGCAGCUUAACUGUCAGGCGUCUAAGAGAUACUGGCAAUCUAGGAACCGGGAGAGGUGAGGGGUACUUCGGGGGUAGGAGUGAAAUCCUGUAAUCCUCGAGGGACCACCUGUGGCGAAGGCGCCUCACCAGAACGGCUUCGACAGUGAGGGACGAAAGCUGGGGGAGCAAACCGGAUUAGAUACCCGGGUAGUCCCAGCCGUAAACGAUGCGCGUUAGGUGUGUCGAUGACCACGAGUCAUCGAGGUGCCGAAGGGAAACCGUGAAACGCGCCGCCUGGGAAGUACGGUCGCAAGGCUGAAACUUAAAGGAAUUGGCGGGGGAGCACCACAACAGGUGGAGCCUGCGGUUUAAUUGGACUCAACGCCGGGAAGCUCACCGGAUAGGACAGCAGAAUGAUUGCCGGGCUGAAGACUCUGCAUGACUAGCUGAGAGGAGGUGCAUGGCCGUCGUCAGUUCGUACUGUGAAGCAUCCUGUUAAGUCAGGUAACGAGCGAGACCCA
RNAcentral lists this ribosomal RNA (781 nucleotides) under unidentified archaeon. RNAcentral's name for it is "bacterial SSU rRNA". It matches the Rfam family "Archaeal small subunit ribosomal RNA", at positions 268 to 1054 of the family's 1478-position model. The record is from RNAcentral.